UGUGAUCAUGGCGUGUUAUGCGACUGGUCCAACGUAACAUUUUCGUCUCCAUUAUCGCGAGAUGUCGUUCAUUGUCUUUUAUAGUCAGUCAUAGCUAUCACUCAGAACCAUAGAGGGCGAUUUGGGCAGACGACACUGUAGUAAAUUUUCGACUUGAGAGAUUUGUUGAUACGUCGAUCACAAAGAACGCCAGUUGUAGAAGGCCCCUUCAUCCAGGUUGCGAUAAUGCGUGAAGCAAUUGCAUAAGGCAGUUUACCAUUAGUUCACCCCCAUUCCGCCAGCAACACCUAUGCUUUAUCCCCUUCGGUUUCUGGUAAUGUGCUUUAGCUCCACCCAAAAUUUUCCUCGGUGAUCUUCAAAUUUCAUACUCAUAAUUUACGUCAAACGUAUCUAUUCUCGUCCAUUAUUUUACGUUUUGAGCUUGCCUCCCUCUGCUGCAAACAACCGUUCCGGAUCGACAUUAUAUACAUACAUAUUAUCCUGUUGGACGUUGUUGAGAUAGAGCUUCAAUCCAUUUCUUAAUAUUUCAUAAAUCUAAAAGCAAUGAAAAUACAUCGAUUUUCAUAUAUUUGAAAUUAAUAAUUAAAAAAAUUCCAUUGAUUUGAUAAUUUUUUUUGUUUAUUGAAAAGUUAUGGCGUAUUAUUUAGAUCGCUCUUAAGUUAUUCAUUAGUUUUUAAUGUUAUAAAUUGAUUUCAGUUGAAAUUUUCUACGUGUUUAAAGUUUAAGUUUGUAUCUGUUCGAAUAAGUUUUUAAUAAAAACGUUAUAACGUAUGUUUUGCACUUUUGUUUUCUACUUAUAGUGUCUAUGUCCUGUACUACAUUUUCCUUUUCUAGAUAGCUCACAUCAUUCCCCCCACUUCCAAAGCCAGUUUCCUUUAAUCUUUGAUCACAUAAUAAAAAAAAAUAAGGUUGCCACAUAGCUAAGACAAAUUAUAACAGCAGAAAGAUUUUUCAGGUGCUGAUCAAAUUGCCACUAUAAAAACCCGUUGAAGCAAAAUCAAAUUCAAAUCUAUUCCAUAUACAGAAUAAAUGAAUCAACCAACAUCAACAAACUUUUAUAACUAAUAUAAUGUAAAUACAUUCGCAAAAUAAUAGCAAUUGUUUGAAAUAAAAUAAAAGAAAAACAGGCAGCAACUAAUAAUCAGAGAGAACUGACAAAAAUAAAAACAAGAAAAACCACAAUAAACCGAAUGUUUAUUAUUGACGAAACAAGUAAACUAAAAAGAAAAAAAAAUAUUACAAAGUUACUACAAAAGAACUCGCUCGCAUUUAAAAUAGAAUUGAUAUAAUUAUUAAUUAUUGAAAUCAAUAAGCAUUAUUAUGACGAUAUACUCCUAAAAACAGUUACGAUAAAAUCUAUAUAUAAUUCCUACAAACAACAGUCAUUCGUCCAUACAAAUGAUACUUAAAAUGAUAAUGAUGCAACAAUAGUAUAUUCUAAUCUGUACUCUUUUAUUCUGUAUUAAGUACUGUUUUCUGUUUGAACCAUAAUAUCCAUUUUAAAUUAAAACAUUAAACAAGUAUCGAUUGAGAGUCAAUGAGACGAAAUCAAGUAAAUGGUUGAACAUUUCAAAGAAUUGUAAAAUAUGAUAUUAAAUUCUAAAAAUAAUUGUAACCUGCUCUUUUGUUUAAACAAAAUUUGAAUGGAAGUUAUACAAAUCAAAUUACAAUAUUAUUAAAAAGUGACGCAAAUCAAAACUUGGUUCUAAUUUAUCUUGUGUGAUUUCAAUUGAUAAGUCCGUUUUUGGUAUUGUUAUUAAAACAAGCGCAAUACUCAAGAAAUAGAGCAAAACAAAAAAUGGGGAAUACUUUUAGUACUUUUUCUAGUUUUAAAAGGCAAUCACGAAUUAUUCAAUUUCAACUUCAAUAUAUGAUACGCAUUGAGUUUUGAAAUGCUUUAAUUUGAAGAAAAUUUCACAUUUCUUAUAAAUAGCCAUAAAUGUCUCCAUAAUUUACAGACAAUUUUCUAGAUUAAUAGGAAUUUUCUUUGAACAAAAAACGAUGAAAAUUUAAUAAUUGGAUUACGAAGUUACUUUAAGACCACCCUUGCGAUAGUUUUAUUGAUUUUAGUGCCUCUAAGAAAUUGACAAACGAAUUUGUGUUAACGUAAAGCUCAUACAGAAUAUGAAUUCAAUUAGAUUGAACAGUUUAAAAAAAAAUUAGUAAUAUUUUAUUUUAAUUGAUGUCAUAUAUCAACUGGUGUAACAAGAAACCCCGUACAAUAUUUCUGUUUGCUAAGCUUGACUCUUAAUUUAAUUUACACUUGAUUUGUAUUCGAGCGCAAUGAUGACAUAGAAUUUCGGAGCUUAUCCUACUUCAUUUAUAAUACUAUAUUUAGUUUCGAAUUGUUUUUUGUAUAAAUCAAUUCAAACAACACUGACAGAGCAAGAAAUUCAGUGACUCCAAUAUUAUUGGUUUAUAUUUAUAUUAUACAUACUAAAGAGACACAAAAUUUGAAACAGGAAUCAUAGAAUAACCAACGUAUAAUUAUCACAUCCACUGCGUAAACAUUUAUAUAAUAUUUGAUUUUCGAAUUUAUUAGGACAACAAAAUUUAAACGGAAAACAAAAAUCAUUUGAUGAUAUUGAUAUGUGUAUGGGGAACUAUUGAAUGCAAUUAAAUGUAGACGUGCGAAUUCAAUUUAAGAAAUUUAUACUAAUAAAGACCAUAUUUUUCGAUAAAUUUUUAUUAUAAAUAAACGAUAAUUAGUAGUACCGUUCCAAAUAAAUUCAAAAUUUAGUAGAUUAAGUAUUUCGUAAAUAUUUGGCGUGUAAUAAUUCAAUGCAAUAAUUUUUGGUACAAGAUUAAGUAUUUAUUUCUUAUUUAAACAUUUCUCAAAUCAAUAGCAACGGCGUUAUUUAAGAAAAAUGGUUUAAACAUGAAAAAAAAUUUGACUAAAACUAUUUGAAAAUUUUGGAAACAUAUUAAUUUAAUUAAAGUAGAAUAAGUGUGAAGUAGAGACUAAAUUAGAGCUUUCGUAUUGAAUAAAUUAAAGUAAGGUAAUUUUUAGUAGGAUCGGCGUAAUUUUGAUGGCGAGUUUAGGUUUAUAAUUUUGAUAUUUGCAUAGAGAAUGUGAAGUAAAGUCUGAUAGAGAAAGUGAGAAAAGUUAAUUGGCGAUUUAGCUUUUAAAAUGUAUAGAUUUAAGUGCAAUCGUUUUGGUUGUCAUUCAAAUAUUUGAAAGGGCAACUUUUUUCCAUAAGUUCUGUGAUUCCUGGUGUAGCAAUUGGCCGUUGUAUAAGAAGGAGGGAAGUUCGUUGAAGAAAAUUGCAAUGUUUUUUCAAGUUUGGACUGUUUUAGUACAUGAAAUUGGAUUAUCUCAAAUUUCAGAAAUAUUUGACCAUUUGGUUUCCUGUUAUCUAAAAUUGCCUUCAACCACAUUGAGAGAGCCCAGUUGAGCUUUCUGACAAUCAGUUUUUUCUGGUGGUUUGAUCCAGGGAUAAUCGCUGCUUUCCAUCCAUAAGCAAAUUAAAACCAGCUUAGAAUCUAUGCUUGGAGCUGGAAAUCAUUAUGGUCAAUAAGCGGAAAACUCAUUGCAAUUUUCUCUAAAAAGUAUCUCCCGAAAGCGAAUUUUCAUGCGCAUAAAUAAAAACCUUAACAUGAUCAGGUUUGUAAUAUAUUUGACGUCAGCUUGAAAUAUUAGUAACUUUAAAACGAAUUAAGCAUAAUUUAGUAUUAAAAUAAAUUACCUAAAUAUUGCCUUCAAGUUAUAUUGAAACUCAACAUAAUAUUUUACAUUACCAUAAAAUUGCUCUUCUAUUAUCAUAAUCACUAAAGACUAUUCGAUGCAGUUCAUUUUUGACUCUGAUUUUAUAUGAAUAAACCAGAAGCAGCAUUCAUCAACCUAAAAUAUUAAACUCCAUGCAAAAUGUAAGAAACGAUUCUUCGUUUAUAACUUACUUGCCUUAAGUUCACAAAUAGAAAGGAAUAAAAACCAAAGCUAACAAUUUUAUCAAUAUUUUUUUACAGUGACUAAUAUAUUUUACAGAUACAAACAAUCGUAGCAAUUACUAGAUCACAAAUGAUAAAUAAUUUUUUUCUUAAUAUUGAAAUGAUUAAAUAAAUGAAACAGAAAAACCAUGGUGAUAUUAUAUAUAUUUAUAUUAACAUAAAUAAGAAAAUAUUUGUUAAAUUUAUUUGUUUAUUUAGCCAAAUGCAAAUGUGAAAACAUAAAAAAAUGCAGAAAUGAAAUGAAAAUAGUGAAAAAAAUAAGAAGAUUUUAAAUGUAAUUAACGGAGAAAUAUUCAAAGUAUAUAUUUCACCGACAACAGACCUAAACUUCUAAGAUAAAACAAUAAAUAGUUAAAUUUUCAAUGAAAUCAUAAAGACAUUCUGAAAAUGAAACUAUAUCGAAAUAAACAGGUACGAAAAUAGAGUUUAAAUUAAUAUUGUUCAGUUUAGAUCACUUUCGUUUCUUGAAUCAGUUUCAGAUAAUUAUAUCGUUUUUUUCCUAUUUGUUUAAUUUUGUUUAAUUUUUCCUCAAAGCAGAAUCGAAAUUCGGGUUCUAUUAACCCUAAAAACAUUUAGAAAGAAGUUGACGAAAUUCCAAGUAAUUCAAAAGAUACUUAAUACUAAAAAUUGUAACGAAGAUUAUAUGUAAUUUUUCGAUCAUGAAAUUUGAACAAAAAAAAUGGACAAGGAGAUUAAAUCUAAAAUACUGCAAAUUACUAACUUUAGGCACUUUGGCAACCAAGAAAAAUAACAAAAAAAAAAAUCUUUUCCAGGAAAACAUUUCCCCUGACUUUUGGAAAAUCACAUUCAGAUCGCAAAAAGAUUAAAAAUUAUAAAUAUGUAGUUUUGUAGUUUAAUAAUUAAAAGCAAAAUAACAACAUUAUCUCUAUGUACAAAGGAAAAAAUUAAAGCUACAUGUUUUGGAAAUGAUAUGAAGCAAAAUUGAAUGUAAAUCUUUUACUGCAUACAUUUUUCGAGUGAAUGAAUAAAAAUGAAAAUAUAAAAAUUAUUGUCUAUCUAAAGUGAACUUUGAGCAUAAUAUUAAAUAAAAAUUCAAGGCUUAAAUCUUCUCUAAAAAUACAUAUGACUUUGAAUAGAAGACACGAAAAAUUCUAUAAGUAUUUGAAAUGCAUCAAGGCAGUGUAGUAAAUCAAAUUGUAAUAAAUAAUUUUCAAAAAUGAGGAGUGAAAGCAAAGUGUAAAUUAUUAAAUAACGAAAGAAUAUAUCAAAUAACACACUAUCAUGUAAAAAAAUAUGAAGCUUCAUGUUAAUAGAAAUUAAUGGUAAUAAAAAUUUAAAGGAGGAAUAAUAUUAAAUUGAAUUUUGGUAGAAUUAUCAUAAUUUAUGUCAGAACUAAAAAUGAAGCAUAAUUAUUUCCAGAUGAUUUUUCCUCGAAAUUCAACAGUUUUCACAAACAACAGUCUGGAAUAAAUUUUCAAUCAAAAUUACCUAAUUCCAAUUACUUUAAAUUCAGCCUCAAUAUCAACUGAAUUAAAAUUUGAAUGCAAUGAAUAAAACAAAGAUAUUGGAGUUAAACCAGUAAAUGCAGUAAAAGAUUCUUACAGUAACUUAAUUAAAAAAAACAAUUUCGCAGAAAGUUAUAUGCUAUCAAAGUAUUCUCUUCAAAAUAUAUAUUUAAUUUGAUGUUAUUUUACUUUAUUGUAGUAACUCUAAUUUUUAUAUUCGCUCUCUUAAUUAUUAAAAAAAAAAUCAAAUCAUAUAAAUAUUUAAUAGAUUUAAUCACAUUUUCUAAUCGUUCGAUAUUCCGUAGUAAAGUGAGUUCAAGAAAUUCUGUUAAUUGAACAAGAAACCAAGAGAAAAGUCAAAAAUUUGGAAGUAAUAUAACUUUUCGGACAUUUUGGAAUCUAACAUAAUACGACGAAAGAAAUCAAAAGUGUUCAAAAUUAUAAUAAAAUUCAAAAUUAACUGUAAAUAAAAUAUAA
RNAcentral lists this long non-coding RNA (5891 nucleotides) under Hermetia illucens (black soldier fly). RNAcentral describes it as "uncharacterized LOC119652661". Lineage: Eukaryota; Metazoa; Arthropoda; Insecta; Diptera; Stratiomyidae. The record is from RNAcentral.